RNAcentral lists this ribosomal RNA (424 nucleotides) under uncultured bacterium. RNAcentral's name for it is "partial 16S ribosomal RNA". It matches the Rfam family "Bacterial small subunit ribosomal RNA", at positions 360 to 776 of the family's 1533-position model. The record is from RNAcentral.
AAUUUUGGACAAUGGGGGAAACCCUGAUCCAGCCAUCCCGCGUGUAUGAUGAAGGCCNNNGGGUUNUNAAGUACUUUUGGCAGNGANNAAAAGGUAUCUCCUAAUACGGGAUACUGCUGACGGUAUCUGCAGAAUAAGCACAGGCUAACUACGUUCAAGCAGCCGCGGUAAUACGUAGGGUGCAAGCGUUAAUCGGAAUUACUGGGCGUAAAGCGUGUGUAGGCGGUUCGGAAAGAAAGUUGUGAAAUCCCCAGGCUCAACCUUGGAACUGCAUUUUUAACUGCCGGGCUAGAGUAUGUCAGAGGGGGGUAGAAUUCCACGUGUAGCAGUGAAAUGCGUAGAUAUGUGGAGGAAUACCGAUGGCGAAGGCAGCCCCCCGGGAUAAUACUGACGCUCAGACACGAAAGCGUGGGGAGCAAACAGG